AUGGCUCUGAGGGGGUGGGGCUUCGGACCGCACCGGGAACCUCCCACCGGGACCGCCGGUAACCGGGACCCCCCGGCUGCUCGGAACUCCCGAGCACCGACACUUCCGGGCAGUGACACCCCGGACACCGAGAGGACCCAACACCGUCACUCCCCAGACCCCAGACACCGGGACCCCAGGGCACUGACACCCCCCGGGAUUCCCGGUCACUGGGACCCCUGGCACCAGAGCCCCGGACACGCGCUCUCACACACACUGACAGCCCUGGCAGCCCCCCGAGACCCCCGAUUCCGGCACCCCCGGGCACGUGACCCUCUGAGCACCAACACCCCCGGUCUACGGACACACCAGGCACUGACACCCCCAGGGAUCUGCACCGGGAUCCCCGGGCACCGACACCUCCGCGCACCGACGCCCGAGGAACCCCCGACACCGGGACUCCCAGGCACGAGGAUCCCCGCGACCCCCGAGCACCCCACCGGGACCCCCGAGCACCGCGCCGGGACCCCCGAGCACCCCACCGGGACCACCGAGCAUCCCACCGGGACCCCCGAGCACCGCGCCGGGACCCCCGAGCACCCCACCGGGACCACCGAGCAUCCCACCGGGACCCCCGAGCACCGCGCCGGGACCCCCGAGCACCCCACCGGGACCACCGAGCAUCCCACCGGGACCCCCGAGCACCGCGCCGGGACCCCCGAGCACCCCACCGGGACCACCGAGCAUCCCACCGGGACCCCCGAGCACCGCGCCGGGACCCCCGAGCACCCCACCGGGACCACCGAGCAUCCCACCGGGACCCCCGAGCACCGCGCCGGGACCCCCGAGCACCCCACCGGGACCACCGAGCAUCCCACCGGGACCCCCGAGCACCGCGCCGGGACCCCCGGUCCCGCAAACCCCGUGUGCCCCCGGCAGCGGCUCACGAAGGGACGGAGCUCAGGGCUGACCCCGAGGCCGGUGGGGACAGGGACCUCUUGGGGUCCUCCUGGCUGGUUCUGCGACGUCGAUGACCCCAGGGACCCCGACAUGGGUGGGGGGCGAAGGGGGUGUCCCGGGGGGCAUGGGUGA
This 1071-nucleotide long non-coding RNA is filed under the name Ficedula albicollis (Collared flycatcher). RNAcentral's name for it is "lncRNA (ENSFALG00000004397.2)". The record is from RNAcentral. Lineage: Eukaryota; Metazoa; Chordata; Aves; Passeriformes; Muscicapidae.